RNAcentral lists this non-coding RNA (21 nucleotides) under Caenorhabditis elegans. Lineage: Eukaryota; Metazoa; Nematoda; Chromadorea; Rhabditida; Rhabditidae. The record is from RNAcentral.
UACCUAUCUGUACACUUUUCA